Molecule: ribosomal RNA, 570 nt
Filed under: Pseudolais pleurotaenia
Lineage: Eukaryota; Metazoa; Chordata; Actinopteri; Siluriformes; Pangasiidae
Description: partial 16S ribosomal RNA
Rfam family: Bacterial large subunit ribosomal RNA
Source: RNAcentral
CGCCUCCUGCAAAAAUCAACGUAUAGGAGGUCUUGCCUGCCCAGUGACAAGUUAAACGGCCGCGGUAUUUUGACCGUGCGAAGGUAGCGCAAUCACUUGUCUUUUAAAUGAAGACCUGUAUGAAUGGUGGAACGAGGGCUUAACUGUCUCCCUUUUCAAGUCAAUGAAAUUGAUCUGCCCGUGCAGAAGCGGACAUACCAAUACAAGACGAGAAGACCCUUUGGAGCUUAAGAUACAAGAUUAACUAUGUCAAGAACCAAGAACUAGGUUAAACUAAAUAGCUGCCUAAUCCCUAUCUUCGGUUGGGGCGACCACGGGAGAAAACAAAGCUCCCAUGCGGACUGGGGUUAAACCCUAAAACCAAGAAAGACAUCUCUAAGUCACAGAACAUCUGACCAUAAAGAUCCGGCCUAACCCGCCGACCAACGGACCAAGUUACCCUAGGGAUAACAGCGCAAUCCCCUCCCAGAGUCCAUAUCGACAAGGGGGUUUACGACCUCGAUGUUGGAUCAGGACAUCCUAAUGGUGCAGCCGCUAUUAAGGGUUCGUUUGUUCAACGAUUAAAGUCCU